RNAcentral lists this ribosomal RNA (253 nucleotides) under uncultured bacterium. RNAcentral describes it as "partial 16S ribosomal RNA". It matches the Rfam family "Bacterial small subunit ribosomal RNA", at positions 524 to 776 of the family's 1533-position model. The record is from RNAcentral.
GACAGAGGGUGCAAACGUUGUUCGGAAUCACUGGGCGUAAAGCGCGUGUAGGCGGCAGUGCAAGUCGGAUGUGAAAUCCCGCGGCUCAACCGUGGAAGUGCACCCGAAACUGCACAGCUCGAGUGUCGGAGAGGAAGGUGGAAUGCUUGGUGUAGAGGUGAAAUUCGUAGAUAUCAAGCGGAACACCGGUGGCGAAGGCGGCCUUCUGGACGACGACUGACGCUGAGACGCGAAAGCGUGGGUAGCAAACAGG